Molecule: non-coding RNA, 441 nt
Organism: Pelobates cultripes (western spadefoot toad)
Lineage: Eukaryota; Metazoa; Chordata; Amphibia; Anura; Pelobatidae
Source: the annotation of a GenBank genome assembly
AUAAGUGUGUUUUCAGUCAAAUGUGAACAUUGCUGUAUCUCAGAAAUGGCAAAGUUCUACAUGGUCUGAGUAAAUACAUGAAAACCAUUAUAUUAAAGUGUAAUGGGGAGGUGACUGGUACCCGAUUUAAGAUCUUGACCUGUCCCACUAUGUGGUUCAUCCUUUAUUCUCCAUGACCAUCUAUGGUAGUGAGCGUAUUAUGAAUCAUCGAGAAGUAUAUGUGGCUGAAACUGGAGAAGACCUAUUUCUUCUCACCCAUUAAAACAUUUCCAUUAGAUUCCACCCUGGUAUUUCUGGUUUUGGCAAUCAAGACAAACUCUGCCAUAUUUUGCACUUUCCUACGCUCAAAUUCCAGCACAGACCCUGAUGAUAGGCACUACACAUUCUUUGAAGAACUGAAACAACUCCUGUAUUAUGCCCUUUAAUCUGUUUUGUUUUGUG